RNAcentral lists this ribosomal RNA (539 nucleotides) under Monomia pseudoargentata. Its description in RNAcentral is "partial 16S ribosomal RNA". It matches the Rfam family "Archaeal large subunit ribosomal RNA", at positions 1915 to 2670 of the family's 2987-position model. The record is from RNAcentral. Lineage: Eukaryota; Metazoa; Arthropoda; Malacostraca; Decapoda; Portunidae.
ACAUGUCUAUUACGGUGAUAUUUAUAGUCUAGCCUGCUCAGUGACAUAAAAGUGUUAAAUAGCCGCGGUAUCCUGACCGUGCAAAGGUAGCAUAAUCAUUAGUUUUUUAAUUGGAAACUAGAAUGAAUGGUUGGACAAGAAAAAAACUGUCUCUUUUAUUAAAAUUGAAAUUAACUUUUAAGUGAAAAGGCUUAAAAUUUACUAAGGGGACGAUAAGACCCUAUAAAGCUUUAUAAAUUCAGAGAUUUUAGAUAUUUUAUAUAUAAAUUUAUUUUUUGAUAAUUUAUUUGGUUGGGGCGACAAGGGUAUAAUUAUAAAUAACUGCCAUUAAUGUUUAUACAUAUAUCUUUGAUUUAAAUUUAAUAUAGUAGUUGAUCCUUUUUAAGGAUUUAAAGAUCAAGUUACUUUAGGGAUAACAGCGUAAUUUCUUCUGAGAGUUCUUAUCAAAGAAGAAGUUUGCGACCUCGAUGUUGAAUUAAAAUGUCUUUAUAGUGCAGCAGCUAUAAAAGAAGGUCUGUUCGACCUUUAAUUUUUUACGU